AGGAUAAACGCUGGCGGCGUGCCUAACACAUGCAAGUCGAACGCUCUUUUUCCUCGCAAGAGGGGGGAGGGAGUGGCGGACGGGUGAGGAACACAUGGGUGACCUACCUUUCAGUGAGGAAUACCGGCGAGAAAUCGCCGACAAAACCGCAUAGGCUCGAUGCAAGUCGAGCAAAG
This 176-nucleotide ribosomal RNA is filed under the name uncultured bacterium. RNAcentral's name for it is "partial small subunit ribosomal RNA". It matches the Rfam family "Bacterial small subunit ribosomal RNA", at positions 26 to 206 of the family's 1533-position model. The record is from RNAcentral.